Molecule: unclassified non-coding RNA, 245 nt
Filed under: Hevea brasiliensis (rubber tree)
Lineage: Eukaryota; Viridiplantae; Streptophyta; Magnoliopsida; Malpighiales; Euphorbiaceae
Source: RNAcentral
AAUCGCCAUGGCUCCAAAAGCAGUGCCGCUCAAAUCGAAAUGAACGGACUCUGAGGUACAAGGGCCUCCAGGACACUCAUCUGUGAUAACUACUGUUACUGGAUUCCCCGAGCAAGCUGAAUUAGAGGUGCAUUUCACCUGAUAACAGGCUCCACAUCCUUUUCCAGAUUUGUAUAGAGAAGGCCCUCCAGCUGCUAUCAUUGAAGAGAAUGGUGGUUGGUCUACAGCAUUUUGAUACCCACAAG